This 73-nucleotide transfer RNA is filed under the name Canis lupus familiaris (dog). It matches the Rfam family "tRNA". Rfam says of the family: Transfer RNA (tRNA) molecules are approximately 80 nucleotides in length. Their secondary structure includes four short double-helical elements and three loops (D, anti-codon, and T loops). The record is from Rfam by way of RNAcentral. Lineage: Eukaryota; Metazoa; Chordata; Mammalia; Carnivora; Canidae. RNAcentral also lists the same sequence under 1 other name.
GCCUGACUGCCUCGAUUGGUGGAGUAUGUGACUCUUGAUCUCAAGGUUGUGGGUUCGAGCCCCACGUUGGGUG